RNAcentral lists this ribosomal RNA (253 nucleotides) under uncultured bacterium. Its description in RNAcentral is "partial 16S ribosomal RNA". It matches the Rfam family "Bacterial small subunit ribosomal RNA", at positions 524 to 776 of the family's 1533-position model. The record is from RNAcentral.
UACGUAGGGUGCAAGCGUUGUCCGGAAUUAUUGGGCGUAAAGAGCUUGUAGGCGGUUUGUCGCGUCUGCUGUGAAAUUUCGGGGCUCAACCCCGAACUUGCAGUGGGUACGGGCUGACUAGAGUGCGGUAGGGGAGACUGGAAUUCCUGGUGUAGCGGUGAAAUGCGCAGAUAUCAGGAGGAACACCGGUGGCGAAGGCGGGUCUCUGGGCCGUAACUGACGCUGAGGAGCGAAAGCGUGGGGAGCGAACAGG